CUCGUAGGUGGCCAACUAAGUCAGACGUGAAAUCCCUCGGCUUAACCGGGGAACUGCGUCUGAUACUGGAUGGCUUGAGAUUGGGAGAGGGAUGCGGAAUUCCAGGUGUAGCGGUGAAAUGCGUAGAUAUCUGGAGGAACACCGGUGGCGAAGGCGGCAUCCUGGACCAACACUGACGCUGAGGAGCGAAAGCCAGGGAGCAAACG
RNAcentral lists this ribosomal RNA (206 nucleotides) under uncultured bacterium. RNAcentral describes it as "partial 16S ribosomal RNA". It matches the Rfam family "Bacterial small subunit ribosomal RNA", at positions 568 to 774 of the family's 1533-position model. The record is from RNAcentral.